GUGAGUAGUAUUCAGGCGUCGG
This 22-nucleotide microRNA is filed under the name Cordylochernes scorpioides. The record is from RNAcentral. Lineage: Eukaryota; Metazoa; Arthropoda; Arachnida; Pseudoscorpiones; Chernetidae.